RNAcentral lists this long non-coding RNA (1399 nucleotides) under Equus asinus (donkey). RNAcentral's name for it is "lncRNA (ENSEASG00005026642.1)". The record is from RNAcentral. Lineage: Eukaryota; Metazoa; Chordata; Mammalia; Perissodactyla; Equidae.
ACCUACAGUCUAGAUUCUAGACUCUUUCUAGGGCUCGCUUCACCUGCCUAUAAUACCUUCUCCGUUCCUGGUUUGCGGUUCUAGGUCAAUGUGAUCUCUUUCCUCCUACUCCAGGCCUUGGUUUCCAUCAGUUCGCUCUCCUGUUUCUAUCUAAUCUCUGUUCUUGCCUCUCUGUAUCUUCUCCCAGUUUCCAGGCAGCCAGGAUAAUUACUAAACUUCUAAUUAGCCCCUGCCCUAACAAGGGUGGGUCUAGCAAGAAAGGCAGCAAUUUUGAAAGUGUCUUGGGGAUAGGUGGGGGGAGAACCUAUAUGUUGGGGCCUAGUAUAAACCAGGCACAAAGACAGACACAUGACACACUUUAUCUCAUUUCGUUCUUUCAGUUUUGCAAGGUAGGUGUUUUUAGAGACAAGGAGAGUGAGAGGCUCAGAGAGGUUGGGUAACUUGCACAAGAGCACCCAGCUGGCGAAUGGUAGCUGUCUGACUCCAAAAUCUCAGUUCUUACACCUCACAUUCUGGCACAGGGGCUAAAGCAAGGCUGCUGAAGGAUAGCUGCUUGAGAAUCACCCCACCCGGACCUGGAGCCUCCCCUCUUUCUGACCCUCACCCCCAGCCUUGAGGAGAGUAGGGGAUUGACUAGAGAUGGAGGAAGACCUGAGAACCCAGCUGGAAGUGGGAAGGUGGGAGAGGGGCUGCACUGUGUAGAAGAAACUCCUUUGUUGGCAGAGAGGGAAGGAGGGAUACUCAGAAGAGCUGAACCCCUUUCCUGGGGAAGAGAGAGGGGAGUAGGGGGAGAGAAGUGUAGCCGGAUUGCCUGCCAGGGUCCUGCUGUCCACCAGGAACUUGGGGAUAUGACCCCUUCCCCCCAACUUCCUCAGCCUGCAGGACCAGUCUGAGUGUAUCUGGGAUGGGUCACUAUGGCAAAAUGGGGUCCUCACCCAGAGACGUAAGAAAAGGUAAUGAGAGGGAGUUCAGAAAAAUGGGGACUAAAGGACCUCAGCCUUUGGAAGUGUCACUAAAGCUCUCUAGCCCUCAGGAUAGGUGUGGGAACAAGACACAGUGACCUCCCCGUUCCUGUCUUUUGGCCUUCCUCCAGCCUUUGAAUCCCCAGCACAAGAAGCCCCCUCCAAGAAGCCUUUCCUGAUUCCCUCAGGCCCAGCUCAGAAGCACUCAAGCCCGGAUGUCUAGGUUGUAAAAAAUAAAGGUUGACAUCAGUUCAGCCCCCUAAAGGGUCAAACAGCUUUUCUACAUCUUUUCUCCUCUCUGGAUCUUCCUCAACAACAGGAGAUAGAUGUGGUGAUCAGCUCCCUUUUCCAAACUGGGGUUCAGACGGGUGCAGGGCCUCGCCAAAGGCUCCCAGGGAGGCAGCAGCAGAGCUGAGAUCCAGCUCUCUUUACGACUC